This 72-nucleotide transfer RNA is filed under the name Camelus bactrianus (Bactrian camel). It matches the Rfam family "tRNA". From Rfam's summary of the family: Transfer RNA (tRNA) molecules are approximately 80 nucleotides in length. Their secondary structure includes four short double-helical elements and three loops (D, anti-codon, and T loops). Further hydrogen bonds mediate the characteristic L-shaped molecular structure. tRNAs have two regions of fundamental functional importance: the anti-codon, which is responsible for specific mRNA codon recognition, and the 3' end, to which the tRNAs corresponding amino acid is attached (by aminoacyl-tRNA synthetases). tRNAs cope with the degeneracy of the genetic code in two manners: having more than one tRNA (with a specific anti-codon) for a particular amino acid; and 'wobble' base-pairing, i.e. permitting non-standard base-pairing at the 3rd anti-codon position. RNAcentral also lists the same sequence under 2 other names. The record is from Rfam by way of RNAcentral. Lineage: Eukaryota; Metazoa; Chordata; Mammalia; Artiodactyla; Camelidae.
GAGGGUAUAGCUCAGUGGUAGAGUGUGUGUUUAGCAUGCAUGAGGUCCUGGGUUCAACCCCUAGUACCUCCA